This 470-nucleotide ribosomal RNA is filed under the name uncultured bacterium gp1. RNAcentral's name for it is "bacterial SSU rRNA". It matches the Rfam family "Bacterial small subunit ribosomal RNA", at positions 91 to 578 of the family's 1533-position model. The record is from RNAcentral.
UAGAGUGGCGUACGGGUGAGUAACACGUGACUAACCUUCCUUCGAGUGGGGAAUAACCUCGGGAAACCAGGGCUAAUACCGCAUAACAUCCUAGGGUGAAACUCCUUAGGAUCAAAGGGGUAAGACGCUUGAAGAGGGGGUCGCGGCUGAUUAGUUAGUUGGCGGGGUAAUGGCCCACCAAGACGAUGAUCAGUAUCCGGCCUGAGAGGGCGCACGGACACACUGGAACUGAAACACGGUCCAGACUCCUACGGGAGGCAGCAGUGGGGAAUUUUGCGCAAUGGGGGAAACCCUGACGCAGCAACGCCGCGUGGAGGAUGAAGUCCCUUGGGAUGUAAACUCCUUUCGACUGGGAAGAAACUGACGGUACCAGUAGAAGAAGCCCCGGCUAACUUCGUGCCAGCAGCCGCGGUAAUACGAGGGGGGCAAGCGUUGUUCGGAAUUAUUGGGCGUAAAGGGUGCGUAGGCUG